RNAcentral lists this microRNA (22 nucleotides) under Bos taurus (domestic cattle). RNAcentral's name for it is "bta-miR-10163-3p". The record is from miRBase by way of RNAcentral. Lineage: Eukaryota; Metazoa; Chordata; Mammalia; Artiodactyla; Bovidae.
UGACAAGCAUGGUUCUCUCUCU